RNAcentral lists this transfer RNA (72 nucleotides) under Hymenolepis diminuta. It matches the Rfam family "tRNA". Rfam says of the family: Transfer RNA (tRNA) molecules are approximately 80 nucleotides in length. Their secondary structure includes four short double-helical elements and three loops (D, anti-codon, and T loops). Lineage: Eukaryota; Metazoa; Platyhelminthes; Cestoda; Cyclophyllidea; Hymenolepididae. The record is from Rfam by way of RNAcentral.
GCGUCGGUGGCGCAUUGGUCACCGUGGUCGUCUGUCAUGUCAUAAGUUACAGGUUCGAUUCCCGUCGGCGCA